RNAcentral lists this long non-coding RNA (8878 nucleotides) under Homo sapiens (human). Its description in RNAcentral is "HSALNT0382252". Lineage: Eukaryota; Metazoa; Chordata; Mammalia; Primates; Hominidae. The record is from RNAcentral.
AGAACACAGAACUUCACACCGCCUGCUCGGGCCUGGAGUCCCCCCCCGCCGACCCAUGGGGAGGGCGCAAGGCGCCUUUCAGGGAAGGUGUCUUCGAAAAUGGUCGAGGGGUGAGAGCACUGUGACCCGUCCCUGCCGGGGAUCCUGUGGUGGGACAGCCAGGAUUGGGUCCCUAGCCCGGGGGAGGCAGAAUCUGGGUAAUGGAAGGGAGAAUGGGCUCGCUAUCUGCCCAGAGCUUCCCUGGACUGCAGGAACCCGUCCUAUAAGCAACCCCGAAACUUCGGGGCCCGAGGACCAGGGAAGACCCCCUUUCCUUGCUGUCUUGACAGGGUUGCAGAAGCCAAGGAGUUCGGCAGGGAGACGGGGCUCCUGGGGUGGUUAAGGACGCGGUGACCACCCCUGGGCGGGAGCUGACUCCCGCGGGCCCGGAGGCUCUAGCUCACUCUACAGCAAAUGCUUUUGUUCCCGGAGGCUGCCCUGGGGGAAAGACGCCCCUUACCCCUGCCUUCGACCCUGGAGAGCCCAGUGCCCGCCCGGGCAGGGCUGGAGCCCGAGUCGCCCCAGGCAGAGUCCGCCGAGGCCUGGGGUGGGAGCCGCGACUUCUGGAUCUGCCUCCGAGCUCAGCUAGAAGACUGCGCGCACCUCGUCCGGCGCCGUCCGGCGCGCAGAAGCGGGUCUAAUGUUUAUAACGUUAAUAAUGACAGUUAGGGAGGGCUGUGGAGCCGGGAACCAAGACCUCAUCCCGCCGCCGCCCACGUCUUUGAUCAUUAAAGAAACAGACAACUAAUCAGGGCCCAAGCCUGGUCCGCGCGCGCCCCCUGCUGGAAGCCGCUUGCCGGGCGCAGAGGCGGGUCAACGGCAGAGGGUGCUGGCUGGGCGAGGAAGAUGUGGCUGGAACCCUGCACCAAGGCGACCGCUGCUCACGGCUCUGCAGUCCCGCGGCGCGAUACGCCAGUGGGGCGCGCUUAACCAAAGUCCCGAGGCUUUACUUCCCGUGCCCACCCAGUCUAUGUCCCAGGUAUCAGCAACCUCUGGUCCACUACACAACACAGGCGCUGUCCCUACUUCGCGCUGCGUAGUUUCCAGUGCCCAGGGCGUCUCCUAAUUCUUGAGCGACUAGUCCCUGGCACAAAACCUUCCUAUACACCUCUCCCACUCUCCCUUCUCUCUGAGUCUUAUGACUUUGUCAGGGGCCUAUUAAAAUAAAUGUCUGAGAUCUGGAAAAAAAAAUCUGUUGGCGCUAACAGGGGCAAAGAAAACUGCAAAAUUGGAAGUAAUCGAUGUUUGAUUGAAUGUUUAAGACAUGCGACAUUGUGCAAACGAUUCUGUUGCAACUGCACUCAGAGUUGUACUUGCCCUUGUAUUUUAAUGUGGCACGCGGAGGAUUUAAUGGACUUGCCUAAAGAUGUGGGAAGGGCCUCUGAGAAUAAGAAAGCCGGGGCCCAGAUGGGCAUCAAACAUCCCCAGCAUAGCAGCCGGUUAAGGCUGCGGAGACCUUCCCCAAGGCUGCCCUCCAGUCAGAAGCCCCUGAACACUCACUACUUCCCAUCUUUCAGCUUCUGCGCGCACAGACACACACACACACACACACACACACACACACACACACACACACACACACACACACAAAUGUUCUCUCCAGCCCCACACCCUCAAGAAGCUGCUUUCCUUUUCUAAUUUCCAGUCGAAAGAUCACUCCUCAGGGAAGCCAGGCCCUGUUUAUACUCCCUCCUCCGGCCUUUCCUUGUACAGGUUCUAUGUAGUCGUCAGGCGGGCAGGUCCUAGCGUCAGACUCCAUUAUGUACUGACUGUGUGUCCUUAGCCAAGCUAUUUAACCUCUCUGUGCCUCAAGAAAAAAAGGCAUAAAUAAGAGUACUGACCAGGCGCGGUGGCUCACACCUGUAAUAAUCCCAGCACUUUGGGAGGCCCAGGCGGGCGGAUCACAAGGUCAGGAGUUCGAGACCAGCCUGACCAACAUGGUGAAACCUCGUCUCUGCUAAAAAUACAAAAAUUAGCCGGGCGUGGUGGUGCAUGCCUGUAAUCCCAGCUACUCAGGAGGCUGAGGCAGGAGAAUCUCGGGAGGCAGAGGUUGCAGUGAGCCGAGAUAGUGCCACUGCAUUCCGGCCUGGGCGACAGAGCGAGACUCUGUCUCAAAAAAAAAAAAAAAAAAAAAAAAAUACCUAUGCUUUUCGGUCACCUUGAGGAUUAAAUGAAUCAAUGUACGCAAAGCACUUAGUACCUGACACUUAGUGCUCAGUACUUGAGAUACGUUUUUUAUAUAAUAGCUGAAUUAGCCAUUAUUAUUGCCUUGCAGAGUGGGACACAAGUUUGAUAAAAGGUUCUGCUGCACACACCCCUACAGGCUUGUGUCCUGCCUCCUCCACAGGGGAGCACCUUGGCUCUGCCCCCAGACCUCUUCACCACCACCACCCCCUUUGCACACACACACACCAUGGGUAUAUGUAGAAACCAGAUUUACUAUUAUUAUUUGUAAAGGUUUCUAGUUUCAGAUACUUAGACUGAUGCUUGUCAGCAUGCCUGUUUGCAAAGAGAGACCCGCAACUGCAGACUUGGUGGAAGGUUUUUAAUUAAAACUACAUUCUGUUUAAGUAUUUAUUGGACUUUGUGACUUUAAUUAUUUUCUAGGGAAAAACAAAAAAAUCCACAUUUGCCUAUGAGAAGACUGUUGAUUUCAGAGGAAAGUAGCAACCUGUUGCAGUUUGCUGGAGGCAACUGAGAGGAAUUUUCUGAAUGGUUCAAAUGAAGCUCGACAUUAUUAAUAAUCUGGGAUCCAGCCCAUGACCCUCCUCCCAGCAUUUUCAUGAAAUUAGCUUAACGUACUGGCAAGGCCUUUUAUUGCCAUCAAAAUUAACAGCAGCUCUUCCAGUGGCAGCUCAUGUAAUUAUCUGGGUCUGUGCUUGUCUCACUGAAUAAGAGGAACUCCUGCCUGGAAGAGGCGAUACUCCUGCAUUCAAAGGGGAACAUGGCUGAGCAAGAUGGCUCAUGCCUGUAAUCCCAGCACUUUGGGAUGCCAAGAUAGAAGGAAUAUUUGAGCCCAGGAGUUUAAGACCAGCUUGGGCAACAUAGUCAGACCUCAUCUCUACAUUUUUUUUAAAUUAGUUGGGCGUGGUGGCACACAACUGUGGUCCCAGCUACUCUGGAGGGAGACUGAGACCAGAGGAUCGCUUGAGCCCAGGAGGUCGAGGCAGCCAUAAGCCAUGAUCACACCACUGCACUCCAGCCUGGGCAACAGAGUGAGACUCUGUCUCAAAACAAAAACAAAAACGAAAACAAAAAACAAAACAAAAAAACACCAAAAAACAAGUAAGGGGGGCGGGAUGCAAAAUGCUUGGCAAUCCCACCCCAAUUCAGGCAGGACUGGUUUCCCCAAGAGAUUUUCUGAGGCAGCCAGCUCCUCCGUGGCAGGACUUGCCAUGGUAAAGGGUAGGGCCGGGUGAGGCAGGGGAGUGGGGGCUGGGGAUGAUGUGUAAUAUUUCCAUCGGCAAAUAACAAGAUUCCCACCCCCAAGGAUGGAAAGUAUUAAGUGUAUCGUCUCACAAAGCAGGAAGCAAGGCUGGCUUCCCGGCUGUUGAUUCAGCGGCUCAGUGACAUCAGCAGUUGCAAGUUCUUUCAUCUCUCCCCUCUGCCACCCUUAAUAGGGCUUCCAGCCCAAGGACUGGGUCCCUUGGUGCCUUGGUGUCACUGGAGGGCUUCCGGAGCCACCAAGGAAACAUACCUAUUGUGUUUUUUGUUUUUUUUUCUUUUUAGAUGGAGUCUCACUCUUGUUACUCAGGCUGAAGUGCGGUGGCACAAUUUUGGCUCACUGCAACCUCCACUUCCUGGGUUCAAGUGAUUCUCCUGCCUCGGCCUCCCGAGUUGCUUGGAUUACAGGUGCGUGCCACCACACCCCGCUAGUUUUUGUAUUUUUAGUAGAGACAGGGUUUCACCAUGUUGGCUAGGCUGGUCUCAAACUCUUGACCUCAAGUGAUCCUUCCGCCUCAGCCUCCCAAAGUGCUGAAAAUUACAGGUGUAAGCCACUGUGCCCAGCCACAAACGUAAUGUUAACAGACUAGUGGGUUAGAAAGACAGGCUUCUCUUUUCCGAAGCCACAGCCUCUCCCCUGGGUCUUGACACCUAUUGUCAUAGGACUGUUUAUCUCUGAACCAGUCACUGGUGAAGGGGAUGAAACUGAUUGGUUCAGAAUAAUUAUCUGGCCCUGAUAUGGCUAUAGAGGAGUCAAUCCCAAGGCUCACUACAAGCAAGAAAUCCCUUUUAAAUAGAAGGAUUGGGGAAUUGCAUGUUCAGAGUAGCCUAAUAUUGUAUCAAAAUGAAUUGAAAUGAGAAUGACCAGGAUUAUAAUGGACCAUACUAGAUACUUCCUUAUCUGGAGUUUAGACCAAUCUAUAUCCACAGUCUGAGAUCACAGUCAGGGUCAGGGCAGUGUGUGUGACCAACUUCAGGAAACUCUGGUAGGCAUACAAACCAGAGGAUUCUUUGCUUUCACAGAAUUCUUGGAUCGAUUGAUUUAUUUUUAUACUUAUUUAUUUAUUUGGGCUGAGGAUCAAACUGUAUUGUCCAGCUGGCCUCAAAUCCUGGGCUCAAGUGAUCCUCCUGCCUCAUCCUCCCAAGUAGCUGUGCCUAGAGGCACACAUCGCACCCAGCUCUUUCACGGAAUUCUUGAAAGGAUAAAAAUCUGUUCUUGGAAAUGCCUGUGCUGGGAUCCAAAGCUAUUUUGGGAGCAGUGGAAGCUUCAGUCUUUAGUCGGAUAUUUAUGAACAGGAGAUGUUUAUGAACUCAAAGAUGUCCCUAUAUGACUUCACAUCCUGAACAUGUCUCCCAGUCCCAUGGCAGAGAAGAGAGGCACUUUUACUGUUGAGGUGGAAAACAGGAGGAAUAAUUCUACCUUGGUCUUAGGAAAAAUGUGGGGCAGUGCAAAGUGGGGCAGACCACACUGGGCUUGGAGCUCCACAACCUGAAAGCUCACUCCAGCUUCACAAACUCUCUAAGUGGUCUUAAGCAACUCCUUGCCCUCUCUCCUUCUAGGUUUCCACCCAUGCAAUGGUAGGGGAAUGGGCUAGAUGUGUGUCUUGAGGCCCUUGGGUGCUGUGGCCUUAGAAGAAGCCAGUUUGCAGGUUGAGUUGGGGCUUUUGGGCCGCAGGCUGCCAUCUGACAGGGCUUCCUGCAGGAAGACACCCUCCUUGGGAGCCUGGGGUUGUGGCUUCCUCUCUUCCUCAUGGCCCUUGGCAAUUUCUGUGUCUCCCCUCCCAUCACACUGCAACCCGCCUCCCGCCUCAUCUCUUGAGGCCCGCUUGGGUCCCAGGAGCUAGCCCCUCCCCCAAACUGCUGUGCACUGCUCUGUGGGCAGAGGGAGUCUUCCUGCUUCAAAACACUUACCAAAGGCUCUUUCCAUAGCAAGAUUCAGGGGCGGUUGGGGCACUGCUAUUUGAGGUUAAAAUCUGAUCACUGAAUAUUUUGGGAGCCUGGCACAUUGACCAGGAAAGAACAAGGCUGCCACCCCUUCCUGCUCUGCAACUCUCAGUCCUCCAUUCCGUGGGGCCAUCACAGGACACAGAAAGGCCACAAUAAACACACAUUCAGAGAACCCCCCACCACCUCCUGUGGCCUCCUGCAGACCGCAGGAGGGCUGGCCCAGAGUCUCCUCCUCCUCCUCCAUCCCCCAGACUCAAAGCUCCUGGGGUUGGGGGGCUGCGCAGGGCCUUCCCCUCCACUGUCCCCAUCAAAGCCCAGAACAGCACAGGGAGGGCACUUGGUGGGCUGAAAUAAAACUGACUUUUCCCUCAGACCUUCAGUCUCUUGCUUUCAAUAGACUGUUUUCAUUUACUCUUGAAAGUGGCUUCCCAGAAGCAGAGCUGAGACAAUGUUUUGUGUGCAGGUGGCUGUUUAAAAAACUGCCCAAGCGAAAAACAACCAGAAGAGAGAAGGGGAAGUAGGAAAGGAAGAGGAAGAAGCUAAGCAAAGGUGUGAUUUCAGGCACAGUCUCAAUGUUGGACUGAUCCCAGGAAGCUCCAGAAUGAAAAUGAAUCCUGUUUGUCCCAAUGAGAGGCAGGGAAGCUCACUUCCACAGAUGCACAGCAGUCAGACAUUGGCCAAGGGCUGCCCCUGGGGGAUGGGACUCCCAAGCACUUUCCCCUCUCCUUGCCUGUAGGCAAUCAGCUCUAGUAGCCUGGAAAGACUCUGUGAAGUCUGCACCCACCUUAGGGAGAUGCAAUGACAGCCUUCAAGGAUCAGAGAGUCACCCAGCAUCAGAGUUUGGGGCCUGGAGGUCCUCUAUCCCUUUCACUUUACUGGGAGGGAGACAGAGGCCAAAGAGAGGUCACAGAGCAGUUGGGAAUGGGAAAUGUCCCCAGCCUAUCUGGGCAGUCUGGGUCAAGGACGUGCCAAGCCUGGUGGCUGUGGGUGAGCUUGCUGAUUAGGAGGCCCUUGAGGCUCUUGGGCAGGUGUGGCCUCGACAGUGGCAAGGGCAGCUGUCUCUGGGGUGGAUGGGACAGGCGCCCCCACUUCAGGUCUCCUGCGUUAGUCCCCCGUACCCCCACUCCAUUGCCCACGGGCACUAGAACAGAAUCCCAUCCAUGUGUGGGAGAGACUGAUGUUGUACCCUUGAGUUAUCUAUAAUAGGAUGCUGACCCCAAAUCAGGCCCCAUAGAGAGGGCAUCUCAUCAGGCAGCUGGCUGGGGCAGAGAUCUGGAGGGAGGAGAACCCUCCCUGAGGUGGAUCCUGGCAUGUUGCAGAGAUACCUGGAAUUCUGUACCCAGGCAAGGCCAGUUCAAAUGGCCAAGUCUGGGGGAAGCCAGGCACAAUUCAGUGUAAGGGGGUCUAAAGUGGUAGAUCAGGGGUUAGGGGACUGUAACUUCUCUUCACUGACUUCCUGUGAGACUUUGGAAGUCUUUCUCCCUUCUCAGCCUCAGUUUCCCCUCCUGUGCUGUGGGGCUCAAUUUCCCUCCUUCCUGCCUCAUCUUGGGGUUGGGUCUGUCACAUUCUCACUCCUCAAGCCUGUCCCUACCAAAUCCAAGCUGAGGAAGGGUGCCUCAGUGCAGCGCCUCCCAGGAAAAGAUUGCUCAGGUGCUGUCCUCUUCUGUGUCCUCUUCAAAGUGCCCCAAAUAGACUUUCCUGGGGAAGCCAGAGGAAUCAGGCUAUGAAGAGUGACCCCGUGCAGUGCAGCAUCUGUGAAUCCUGCAGCCCCAUCUUCCUGCGUCCUUAUCUCCAGACUCAGCUGGGAACUUGAUGUAUUUAUUUGCCUCUCCCAGGGCCCCACUGUGUCCAACCCACAUAUCUUCCGGCUGUCUGGUAGCCCCGUGCAGGCAAGGAGGGAGGGAAUUGCUAUAAAUCCCUCCAGCCUGCAGCCAGCAGGGUGACCCUGUCAGGUAGAGGAGACAAUCAAGGUGGCUUGGAGAGAUGGGGACAAAGGCACCAGGAGAAGAAGCUUGGGAUAGAGUCACCUAGAUACUAAAUGGGCUGGAAUCAGGGGAGAGGAGAGUGAGAGAGGAAGGGGAAGGGAAGAGGGAUAGGGUGGGCAGGGGAGGAGAGAAAAAAGGAGAGAACAGAGGAAAGGAGAACAGAGGAGAGGAGAGGAAGGGCAGGAAGGGAAGAAGCAGACUGCUUUCUAGUGCAUUCUGGGAGUCAGCACAAUGCCUUCUGGUCUAGGGUGCUGGGUGUAUAGAGUUAUUUUUUAGUGUGUUGCCAAUCACUAAAUUUAGUACUUUCUAUAUGCUGUCUCAUUCAAUCCUCACAAUUUGUGAAGUAUGCAUUAUCACCCCCAUUUGCAUAUGAGAUCACAAAGGGUAAGCAGGUUGUCCAAGGUCACACAGCAAAGCUGGGAUUUAAAGCCAGGUCCCUCCAAAGCCUAUCUUUUAACUUCCACACACACACAGCUCCCUGUUCCCAAGCCGACUCUAUGAGUGCACCACCGUAAACCCAGCCACACCCCCCUCACCUACCCUCUGCCUCCCCGUGGGUUGGUCUGACUUUUUUUUUUUUUUUUUUUUGAGAUGGAGUCUCUCUCUAUUGCCCAGGCUGGUUUGCAGUGGUUCAAUCUCGACUCACUGCAACCUCCACCUCCCGGGUUCAAGCGAUCCUCCCACCUCAGACUCUGGAGUAGCUUGGGAUUACAGGCACACGCCAUCACACCCGGCUAAUUUUUGUACUUUUAGUAGAAAUGGAGCUUCACCAUGUUGGCCAGGCUGUUCUCAAACUCCUGACCUAAGGUAGGCAGUUUCCCCAUCUGUCUUCAUCCUACUGCCUGGCAUCGUAUCCAUCAAACUGUUUUUAGAGUUAUGUCUUGAUAAGAUAAAAAUCAUGGUGGGAGUCAUUUACACCCUAGUGAGAGUCACCUAAGAUUCCCUUAUCUUCUCAGACCUUUUAGCUGAAGUUGGUUAUGAGAGAGGAUGGGGUUGGGGCAAGCGCUUGGAGCCUGCACUGUUUCUUGCUGAUGCCCUGGCACAGUGUGAAUAUGUCAAUCUAAAUGGAGAGCUCUAUGCAUGUUCCUCUUUAUUCCCUUUGUCACCAAUACCAAUUCCCAAGGCCGAGCCCUGGGAGGGCUGGCCUGAAGGACCUGGAGGUAAUAGAAAACGCUUGGCUUUGGGUUUCAGGUCAAGCUCUGCCAGUGACUUGCUGUGUAAGAUGAGACAAGUCAGUUCACCUCUCUGCACUUCAGUGACCUCAUGUAUAAAAGGCUGGUCUGCUCUAGAUUAUUAAUUUUCUUUAGGUUUUGCAAUUGUUUUUUGUUUUAACAUUAUAUUCAAUUAUUCCCUCAUCUUUAUUAAAGUAUAAUUGACAAAUAAAAAUUGUGUAUAUUUCCAGUGUUCAAUGUGAUAUAUGCAUACAUUGUGAAAUGAUUAAAUCAAGUUAAUUAACAUUUUAA